Molecule: non-coding RNA, 142 nt
Filed under: Teredinibacter turnerae
Lineage: Bacteria; Pseudomonadati; Pseudomonadota; Gammaproteobacteria; Cellvibrionales; Cellvibrionaceae
Also listed under: 1 other name
Source: RNAcentral
ACAAAGUCAUCAACUAUCGCUCGCCGCAUGGCUUAACUGGGAAGUCCGGUGUAAAUCCGGCGCUGCCCCCGCAACGGUAAAUGCGGUGCUAUCAAGGGAUAGCACGCAUCAGCCCGAUACCAGCCUGACGAUCACACUUUCA